GACGAACGCUGGCGGCGUGCUUAACACAUGCAAGUCGAACGGAAAGGCCCUGCUUUUGUGGGGUGCUCGAGUGGCGAACGGGUGAGUAACAAGUGAGUAACCUGCCCUUGACUUUGGGAUAACUUCAGGAAACUGGGGCUAAUCCCGGAUAGGAGCUCCUGCUGCAUGGUGGGGGUUGGAAAGUUUCGGCGGUUGGGGAUGGACUCGCGGCUUAUCAGCUUGUUGGUGGGGUAGUGGCUUACCAAGGCUUUGACGGGUAGCCGGCCUGAGAGGGUGACCGGCCACAUUGGGACUGAGAUACGGCCCAGACUCCUACGGGAGGCAGCAGUGGGGAGUAUUGCACAAUGGGCGGAAGCCUGAUGCAGCAACGCCGCGUGCGGAAUGACGGCCUUCGGGUUGUAAACCGCUUUCGCCUGUGACGAAGCGUGAGUGACGGUAAUGGGUAAAGAAGCACCGGCUAACUACGUG
This 468-nucleotide ribosomal RNA is filed under the name uncultured bacterium. Its description in RNAcentral is "partial 16S ribosomal RNA". It matches the Rfam family "Bacterial small subunit ribosomal RNA", at positions 28 to 507 of the family's 1533-position model. The record is from RNAcentral.